RNAcentral lists this ribosomal RNA (498 nucleotides) under uncultured bacterium. RNAcentral describes it as "partial 16S ribosomal RNA". It matches the Rfam family "Bacterial small subunit ribosomal RNA", at positions 27 to 507 of the family's 1533-position model. The record is from RNAcentral.
GGAUGAACGCUGGCGGCGUGCCUAAUACAUGCAAGUCGAGCGAACAGAUAAGGAGCUUGCUCCUUUGACGUUAGCGGCGGACGGGUGAGUUACACGUGGAUAACCUACCUAUAAGACUGGGAUAACUUCGGGAAACCGGAGCUAAUACCGGAUAACAUAUUGAACCGCAUGGUUCAAUAGUGAAAGGCGGCUUUGCUGUCACUUAUAGAUGGAUCCGCGCCGUAUUAGCUAGUUGGUAAGGUAACGGCUUACCAAGGCAACGAUACGUAGCCGACCUGAGAGGGUGAUCGGCCACACUGGAACUGAGACACGGUCCAGACUCCUACGGGAGGCAGCAGUAGGGAAUCUUCCGCAAUGGGCGAAAGCCUGACGGAGCAACGCCGCGUGAGUGAUGAAGGUCUUCGGAUCGUAAAACUCUGUUAUCAGGGAAGAACAAAUGUGUAAGUAACUGUGCACAUCUUGACGGUACCUGAUCAGAAAGCCACGGCUAACUACGUG